Molecule: unclassified non-coding RNA, 1819 nt
Filed under: Hevea brasiliensis (rubber tree)
Lineage: Eukaryota; Viridiplantae; Streptophyta; Magnoliopsida; Malpighiales; Euphorbiaceae
Source: RNAcentral
UACAUAGCAUAUGGUCAAGAAUAAUGCAAGAAACUGCCUUAAAUAUUCUUCGAAGGAAUCUUCAUUGAAUGCCUGACCUCGAAAGAGAUAACUAGCUCCCAGGUCUCAGACUUUUUUAAUUAUAGUGAUCAGUGAUCACAGCUGAUCAUUAUUCCUUAAUCUACCCAAUUUCCAUGGCUUCACAACUCAAUCAACUUCACUUUGUUUUGAUACCUUUAAUGUCUCCUGGCCACCUUAUACCCAUGAUAGAUAUGGCCAAACUUUUGGCAAAUCAUGGCCUGAUUGUAACUGUUGUAACUACACCUCUCAAUGCCCUCAAGUUCACCUCAACAAUUGAACGUUCUAAUGAAUCUGGUAUUAAGAUCCACAUUCUUCAACUCCAAUUUCCUGCACUAGAAGCUGGUUUGCCAGAGGGAUGCGAAAGUAUGGACAAGCUUCCCUCUAGGAACCUGAUCAGGAACUUUUUCAAUGCUGCCAGUAUGCUUCAGCAGCAAUUUGAGCAGGUGUUUGAAACUUUACAGCCCCGUCCAAGUUGUUUAAUAUCCGGCAAGAACCUUCCCUGGACGGUGGAAACUGCCCGGAAGUUUGGGAUUCCAAGAAUCUUUUUCGAUGGAAUGGGGUGUUUUGCUUUCUCCUGUACACACAAACUGGAAGUUUCCAAGGUGCAUAAAAGUGUUUCCAAGUUUGAGGCCUUUGUGGUACCUGACCUGCCUCAUCGAAUCGAAUUGACCAGAGCCAAGCUACCUGAAUCACUCAAUCCUGGCUCCAACGACUUAACAGAUGUUCGAGACAAUAUUAGAGCAUCUGAAGUCAUAGCGGAUGGGAUUGUGGUUAAUACUUUCGAAGAGCUGGAAGCUGAAUAUGUCAAAGAGUAUAAAAGGGUUAAAGGAGACAACGUUUGGUGUAUAGGUCCAGUUUCAGCUUGUAACAAGCUGAAAUUGGACAAAGCUGAGAGAGGUGACAAGGCCUCAAUAGAUAACACCGAGCUCUCGAAGUGGCUUGACUUGUGGGAGCCUGGAUCAGUAAUCUAUGCUUGUCUUGGUAGCAUUUGUGGCCUCGCAUCCUGGCAACUCGCAGAACUUGGUUUAGGCUUGGAAUCAUCAAACCAGCCGUUCAUUUGGGUCAUAAGAGAUGGUGAAAAAUCAGAAGGGCUAGAGAAGUGGAUUUUAGAGGAAGGGUUUCAAGAAAGGAUCAAAGAGAGAGGACUUCUGAUCAGAGGCUGGUCUCCUCAAUUGUUAAUAUUGUCUCAUCCGGCUAUAGGAGCUUUCUUGACACACUGUGGUUGGAAUUCAACACUUGAAGGCGUCUCCGCCGGCUUACCAAUAGUUGCUUGCCCGUUGUUCGCCGAGCAAUUCUUCAAUGAAAAAUUGGUGGUGGAAGUGCUGGGAAUUGGGGUGAGUGUAGGAGUUGAGGCUGCAGUUACAUGGGGAUUAGAAGACAAGUUUGGAGUAGUGAUGAAGAGAGAUGAAGUAAAGAAGGCAAUUGGGAUAGUAAUGGAUAAAGGGAAAGAGGGAGCAGAGAGAAGGAAAAGAGCAAGAGAGCUUGGAGAAACGGCUAAAAGGACAAUUGAAGAAGGAGGAUCUUCUUACAUGAACAUGGAAAUGUUGAUCCGAUAUGUAUCAGGAAGAGGUCCCUCCAGAGCCUAUUGCCAUUGUUCUUCCUGACAUUGAAUCAAUAAAUGGAACUUUUUUGUUUCAUUUCGAAACAACAAUUAAAAGAAAAACCAAUAUCUUGGUUCCUUGUGGCAUGCAUGUGCAAGUUGGGAAUUGGGUUUUCUAUCUUCAAAUGUGAACUCAGCUCUUGAUAUUUAAUCUUAAAA